UGGGGGAUAUUGCACAAUGGGCGCAAGCCUGAUGCAGCCAUGCCGCGUGUGUGAAGAAGGCCUUCGGGUUGUAAAGCACUUUCAGCGAGGAGGAAGGGUAGUGUGUUAAUAGCACAUUGCAUUGACGUUACUCGCAGAAGAAGCACCGGCUAACUCCGUGCCAGCAGCCGCGGUAAUACGGAGGGUGCAAGCGUUAAUCGGAAUUACUGGGCGUAAAGCGCACGCAGGCGGUUUGUUAAGUCAGAUGUGAAAUCCCCGCGCUUAACGUGGGAACUGCAUUUGAAAC
RNAcentral lists this ribosomal RNA (286 nucleotides) under uncultured bacterium. RNAcentral describes it as "partial 16S ribosomal RNA". It matches the Rfam family "Bacterial small subunit ribosomal RNA", at positions 355 to 633 of the family's 1533-position model. The record is from RNAcentral.